UACAGAGGGUGCAAGCGUUAAUCGGAAUUACUGGGCGUAAAGCGCGCGUAGGCGGUCAGGUAAGUCGAUUGUGAAAUCCCCGGGCUUAACCUGGGAAUUGCAGUCGAUACUGCCUGGCUAGAGUGUGGAAGAGGGAAGCGGAAUUUCCGGUGUAGCGGUGAAAUGCGUAGAUAUCGGAAGGAACACCAGUGGCGAAGGCGGCUUCCUGGUCCAACACUGACGCUGAGGCGCGAAAGCGUGGGUAGCGAAC
This 250-nucleotide ribosomal RNA is filed under the name uncultured bacterium. RNAcentral describes it as "partial 16S ribosomal RNA". It matches the Rfam family "Bacterial small subunit ribosomal RNA", at positions 524 to 773 of the family's 1533-position model. The record is from RNAcentral.